UCCAAUUCGAGGAAUUACCCUAAUUUCUUAGUGGGUACUAGAAUCCACUUAGACUGCACACAAGUCCAACUUUGGUUGGCCAACCCAUGUACAUCUAAGGGUAGGUUCAUAACCAAUUAUUUCUCUAAAUAAUUUUUAGUAAUUUUAAUUUUGCCCCAGAAACCUAAUCAGUAGGCUUUGGCCUUCACUGUAAGGAUCCAGUUAGGUCCAACCAUUAACAUGAUCAUACUUGGUGUAUCUAACCAACAAAUGAUUAAGCUCAACUUUGGUUGGCUCACCUAACCACCAUUAGAGAGACACUUCCAAGUUGUCAUAUGAUGAGUGAUAAUUUCAUUAGUCAACAAGCACCAGACCUUUGGGUCUGCAAUGAUUAUUGAGUUAAUGGACUCAUUAUC
Molecule: long non-coding RNA, 395 nt
Filed under: Elaeis guineensis (African oil palm)
Lineage: Eukaryota; Viridiplantae; Streptophyta; Magnoliopsida; Arecales; Arecaceae
Description: long non-coding RNA (EGUI_LNC050203)
Source: RNAcentral